AUUGAACGCUGGCGGCAGGCCUAUCACAUGCAAGUCGAGCGGAUGAAGGGAGCUUGCUCCUGGAUUCAGCGGCGGACGGGUGAGUAAUGCCUAGGAAUCUGCCUGGUAGUGGGGGAUAACGUCCGGAAACGGGCGCUAAUACCGCAUACGUCCUGAGGGAGAAAGUGGGGGAUCUUCGGACCUCACGCUAUCAGAUGAGCCUAGGUCGGAUUAGCUAGUUGGUGGGGUAAAGGCCUACCAAGGCGACGAUCCGUAACUGGUCUGAGAGGAUGAUCAGCCACACUGGAACUGAGACACGGUCCAGACUCCUACGGGAGGCAGCAGUGGGGAAUAUUGGACAAUGGGCGAAAGCCUGAUCCAGCCAUGCCGCGUGUGUGAAGAAGGUCUUCGGAUUGUAAAGCACUUUAAGUUGGGAGGAAGGGCAGUAAGUUAAUACCUUGCUGUUUUGACGUUACCAACAGAAUAAGCACCGGCUAACUUCGUG
RNAcentral lists this ribosomal RNA (484 nucleotides) under uncultured bacterium. RNAcentral's name for it is "partial 16S ribosomal RNA". It matches the Rfam family "Bacterial small subunit ribosomal RNA", at positions 30 to 507 of the family's 1533-position model. The record is from RNAcentral.